AUAAGAAGCCCCGGCUAACUCCGUGCCAGCAGCCGCGGUAAUACGGAGGGGGCUAGCGUUAUUCGGAUUUACUGGGCGUAAAGCGCACGUAGGCGGCGUAUCUAGUCAGAGGUGAAAGCCCGGGGCUCAACCCCGGAAUUGCCUUUGAUACUGGUAUGCUUGAGUUCGGAAGAGGGUAGUGGAAUUCCAAGUGUAGAGGUGAAAUUCGUAGAU
This 213-nucleotide ribosomal RNA is filed under the name uncultured Pelagophyceae. Its description in RNAcentral is "partial Bacterial small subunit ribosomal RNA". It matches the Rfam family "Bacterial small subunit ribosomal RNA", at positions 483 to 695 of the family's 1533-position model. The record is from RNAcentral. Lineage: Eukaryota; Pelagophyceae.